Molecule: long non-coding RNA, 15429 nt
Filed under: Octopus vulgaris (common octopus)
Lineage: Eukaryota; Metazoa; Mollusca; Cephalopoda; Octopoda; Octopodidae
Source: RNAcentral
UGCAGAGCAUAGAAAUGAGUCUAUCAGUACGCUAGAGAUAGAUCAGACACAAGAUGAAGAUAAAUACCAGUCCGUAGUAAGAAACGCAAUGGUAAUAGUUCUGUAACAAAGAGGUUGGUGGUCACAAGGCUGAUGCCGGUUGAACACAUGUCGUGUAGCGGUUGUGGCCUCAAUGCUGUGCCUUGUUACGUGAAGAAAACCUGGGCGAUGUUGCUGCGUACGUAUUGAUGUUGACGGUGGACAAAGGUCCUGAAAUGCUGGUGGUGGUUUUGGUAUCGUGGUCGUUCUGAACCCGAAACCAUGUGGUUGGUAAGCAAGCUACUUACCACACACAAUACAUACAUAUAUAUAUAUAUAUAAUGUUCCGCUAUCUAAACUUAUAAAAAUGGUUAAAAUAAAAGAAUUGUCAAAUGAUAUGCGACAGAAGAUCAUAAAGAUGGUAAGCGGUAUCGAAAAAUUGCUCAAGAUUUUAAUUUGCUUGUGUGUACAGUUGGUGUUGUUCGAAAGUCGAAAAAAUAUGAUAUUACUGAAGAUAUUCAAAGGUGUGGUCCUCUGCGUAAAUUAAACGAGGCUACUGAAUGAUAAUAUGGCCCGGAAUGUGAAGGAACAACCAUUUUUGACUCGAAGAGAAAUUCAGAACGAUCUGAAAAAUGCCGGAAUUGAAGUAAGUAAAGAUACAAUUAAGAAAUUACUGGGGAAGACUUCCUCCCUCCAUUUUCUCCCAAAUUUGUUUAUUUUUAAAAUUUUCUUUUGCCAAAUAUCCCCGUUUUCGGAUACAGAGGUUCCGGGAAAUUGCCAAAAAUCAGCAUUGUGAAAUCCCCCAACCAACUUCUUCAAUUUUUACUUUUUUCCCCAACAUUAACCCUAAAACCCUAAUUUUAACCCUUAAACCGUAACCGUAAGUACAGAAAUGCUUUGAAAUUUUUGUCCGAAUCAUAAUGUCCGUAUUUUUCCGCGUGGUUAGGAAAAAAAGAAUUCUUAAAAAAAAAAAUUUUACAAAAUUUUUGUAAAUUUUUUUCAGAAUCAUAAUCUCCGCAUUUUCCUGCCUAUUUUGAAAAAAAAAAAAAAAAGAUUCUGAAAAAAGUUUAAAAUUAAGGAAAUGGGGGCAGGAGUGAUAAUUUAGAAAUGUCGAUUUUUGCCAAUUUUUUUGCAGAUUCGUAUUCCCCGUAGUCGAAAAGGUGGGAGGGGUCGAAAAAAUGUUUUUAAGGGUGGUUUUGGGGGUGGGGACGGGCGGAAGUCUUGCCAAUCACAGAAUCAUACAGGCCUGUAUUCUGGAUCACCAAGAAAGACUCCACUAUUAAAACGUAAACUUGUGCAAAGACCUUUUGAAAUUUGUUAAAAAGUAUGAACAUGAAUCAGAUGAAUUCUGGAAGAAAGUUAUUUGGUCAGAUGAAACGAAAAUUGAGCUUUUCGGGAGAAACGGGUGCAUCCAAGUAUGAAGAAGAAAAGGAACUGAAUACAAACCCAGUAAACACUAUUCCAACAGUCAAAUAUGAGGGUGGAUGGAAGUGUAAUGAUUUGGAGUUGCUUGUCUUAUAAUGGAGUUGGAGAAAUGGAAGUCAUCGAAGGAAGAAUGAAUGCAGCAAAAUACAUGCAAAUCUUAUCAACCCAUCUAUUAAAAAGUGCAACAGCUUUGGGGCUUGACCGAGAUUUUGUAUUCCAGCGGGUCAACGAUCCAAAGCACAGGGCUAAAACAACAUUGGCGCAAUGAAAAUGGAAUUGAUGUUCUGGAAUGGCCUAGCCAGAUCUCAAUCCAAUAGAAAAUUUAUGGAAAAAGUUGAAAUUGAGAGUACACGCAAGAGAUCCCAAAAAUAUCAAGGAACUGAAGAAAAUCUGUGAAAAAGAAUGGGUGAAAUUGUCAAAAUCUUCAUGCAAGAAGCUCAUUGAAAACUACAAAAAACAACUAGAGGCUGUAAGGCAGAACAGAGGAUAUGCUACAAAAUAUUAACAAUCUCGUUAAAUACUUUUGCACGCAGUCAAAUUCGAAAAAUGGCAAUAAAAGUACUUAAAAGCAAUGUUUCUCAAUUUUCCUCUGUUUUGUUAGACAAUGUUCAUUAAAAUAUUUGAAAAAUCAUUCAAAUUGAACGAUAUUUUUAUUGUGAAAUUUAUGAAAAAAAAAACGAUGUGUUAAAUACUUUUGCUACACACGGUAUAUAUAUCAUAUAUGUAUAUAAUGUAUAUAUUAUGUGUAUAUAAUAUAUCUAUCUAUAUAUAUAUAUAUAUAAUUUAAUAUAAAAUCCGUUCUGUCUGUCUGUGUGUACCUUCUAGGAUCUCGGGCGUCCUCCAUCUGAUUGCGCUCAAAUUUGAUAUGUAGAUACCGACGGUAUCAGGGCGUGUAUACGUCUUGAAAAAAUUACAAACAUCGAUUCCAGGUGAGAAUGCGAUCGAUAAAGCCGGGGGAACGUGCAUUUGUACGAGCAAAUACAUCAGCUGUUGCGAUCGAUACUACGCGUACGCGAGAAAAAUGCACGUGCAGAUGACGCAGAAAAAGCCUGCCGACUUGAAAUAAUGUCACAAAAUGCAUUAUUAUUGUGGGCAAUAAAGAAAUAACGCAAUGCAGUAUAUUUAAGAGACCAAGAGAGUAAGAUGCAAAAGAGAUAUUUUGUUCAAACUUGGCAUGAAGGAAGGAAAGACUAUUUGGUUUCCCAAGAAGUUGUUUUUUUUUGCCUUAAGUUUGUUUAACAAAACCCAAAAUUUUAUUGAAAUAAAGGCAUGCUUAAUUAUUUUUAAUGAAAAGAAAAUACUGAUUGCUUUUUAUUCAGCAGAUGUGAUUCAGCACCGUCCAUUGAACGGGGGGCGUUUUGCUCGUAGAUAUAAUAUAUACAUAUAUAUAUAUAUAUAUAUAUAUAUAUAUACACACACACACAUAUAUAUAUAUAUACACACACACACACAUAUAUAUAUACACACACACACACACACAUAUAUAUAUAUAUAUAUAUAUAUAUAUGUAUAUAUAUAUAUAUAAAUAUAAGGCGGAGGUAAAGUACAUGCACGCCACCACUUUUCGGCGUAACAAAAACCCUAAUCUUAACCCUAAAUCCUACCCCCAUCCCUAAACACUGAGUGUGCGUAUUCUUUACCUUCGCUCUAAUCUCCACCUUAGAGUGACAACGCUCUGCCAGAAUUUAAAAUCAGUCCACAGAGUCAGAGAGAGACAGACAAAAUGAUAAGCGAGUGAAACAUGGGAAAUGAAAGAAAGAGACAGAGUGCAGAAAAGAGAAAUAAGAAUAAGACAGAAACAGGAGAGAAGGACAUACAAAGAGGGAAUGAGAGAGAGAGAGAGUUACUUCUCUCUCUCUCUCUCGCCUGUGUCUGUGUUUCUCCUCUUUAUCUAAAGCAGGGCAAAGCACAAGUGUCCGUCUAUCUAAUUCCGCACCGUUUAUAUAUUUGUUUCUUUCUGUAGGAAAGUCAUGUUUAAAUACUUCAAAAUGUAUUGCUGUCGUAUUGUUAUUACUGGAUACAAAUUUUGUUUAACUUCGCUUUACACAAAAUGUAACAAAAACGCUAUUAAGAUUGUAGAGCAAACCGAAGCUGAGAAAUCAUAAAGUAUCUCCACGUUUUCGGUACAAUAAAGUUGCUUUGGAGGAAAUAUGAGAUGUAAACCAGUAUAAAAUACAUGGGCAAUGUGGGUUUGAUUCCUGAUCAUGGCGGACCAGGUUCUUCUUAAAUCCAGGCAUAAAAACAAACGGUCCAAGAAUUAGUUUGUGUGCGUGCGUAUAUGUACGUUUGUGUAAAUAUGCAUAGGUAUAUAUAUAUAUAUGUGUGUGUGUGUUUAUAUAAUAUAUACAUAAUACAUAUGUAUUAUGUAGUUGAAAAUCAAAAGAAGACAGGUGUAUGCACAAUAGGCAGGUGUAUUAGUUUGACGCUCAGGAAAGUGAAAAAGUCUUUCGUGUUUCGAGCCCACGCUCUUCAUCAGAAAAGAACAGGAGAAAAUAAACAGAGAGGGAAUAAAAUGAUGAAGAGAGAGGUGGGUAGGAGUGAAGAGAGGAAGUAGGUGUGAGUUGAGAGGAGGGGAGUCAGAUGAAGAGGGGAGUUGAGCCCAUAUGGUACAAAGGAGUGAAGAGAGAAGAUUAAUUCUUGUUCACGGCGAAGGCGCGAGUCCGGAUGGCCCCUGUGCAAAGACAAUCCGAACUCAGACGGGUGUUGUAAUGAAUGACUGGUAGAGCGGGACUGGGGUGUUGUUGUCGAGUCUAAUGUCUCGGAGGUGCUCUGCAAACCGGUCAGCGAAGUAGCGUCUCGUUUGACUGAUGUACAGAGAAGGACAGAAAGAGCAGGAGAUACAGUAAGAGACGUUUCUAGACUUGCAUGUAAAGAAGUUAGUAAUAUGAUAGGCACGAUGAUGGGUGCCUGUGAGGAUGGUGAUGUUGGAGAGGUAGGGGCAAGUGCGACAGCGUACGUGGAAGCAGGGGAACGGGCCAGAUUGGGAGAUGGGGUUAGGGAAGAAACUGUGGACCAGAAGGUCACGUAGGUUGUUGGCUCGUUUGUAGGAGUGGAGGGGUGAAAUGGGUAACGGCAGGGCAAGUGUGGGGAGAGAGAGCAGAGGCACGGUCCACGGAAGUGCUCUGGCAAGGACGGUGUGGAUGUUGAUGAGGAGAUAUCCACAGAGGAUGAAGUGGCAAACCAUGAGUUGAGACUGAGUCUCAGAGUCAUGAAUGUCACUGCAGAGCCUGCGCAGACCGAGGAAUUGGGAGUAUAUAUAUAUAUAUAUAUAUAUUAUAUAUGAGUGUAUUUUCCCUCGUUAACAAUUAACAGGGGAAAAAUAGAUAAAUAGUUUCCAGGGUAGCAUAAAUCACACUUGUUUUUAAAGGUAGAAACUUCGGGUAUACGUGAAUUUUUUUGUAUAAUAUACAAAUAAAUAAAUGGAGUUUAACGCAGGUAUAAUUGAAAUACUUUUACUUCCGACACAUGUUUAAAUUUUUCCGUAGAAUGGGCUUAGGCAUCGUUUUUGAUAAUGAUAUGACGAAGGCUAACUUUUUAGAUAUAACGCUGAAUUUUAUAACUCUACCUUACUUAAAGCAGGUUAUACAGAGAAAAUUUUCUACAUUGAUUCUAUUCAGUCUUAUUCUAACUUCAAUAAUGUAGAUAUGAAAUCUAGUUGUAAAGGAAUUAUCGAUAACAAGCAUAACUUAUGCACCGAUACAAAGCAGAGGAAGGGAGAUAACCCUUAUUUAAUCCCCUAUUAUCAUUCUAAAAGUAAAUGUAAGACUUUCAAAAAUAAUUACACUAAAAAUAAGAUAAAUAGUAGUAAAACUAUUCGGUUCAUUAUUCCAUACGGGAGACAAAUUAAAUCUAAUCUCCCAUUGCAAUUUGUCAACCUAUUGUUAGGAAUUUUCCUAAGAAUUCAAAGUAUUUCUCUAUUGUCAAUUCACAUACGGUUAGGAUUGAUUUUUCCAACACAAAAAUAAUCUCUUACAAAUUAUCUCUUCACUAAUAACAACCUGUUAAAUAUAAAUACAUUUACUAAUACUAACCUUAAUUUAGCUAAUACCAUCCAUCCCUCCAGAAAUGUUAAUAACAAGGUUAUUGUAUCUGAAGUCAAUUCCAACAGAAUUAAAUUUAUGUCAAGUAACUCUAAAAUAAAAAAUUCUAUAUACCAGUGUAUAAUCAGUACUCGUAAUAAAGUACGAUUUUACAUUGGAAGCACAUCAUUAGAGUUAUCUAAAAGAAUUUCUAUCCAUUACUCAACAUUUAAAGAUAGAAAUAAACGUAAUAGUACCGGUCUCAGCAAACUGAUUUGGGAUUUAAAAGACCACAAUGAACAAUUUCAUUUAGAAUGGUUGAUUCUUUCAAUCUCGAUACCUUAUGACAAAGGCAAGGAAUUCUAUCUUCUCUGUAAUUCUGAACUAUUUUUCAUUAUUUUCUCUAAAAAUCCCCUAGUAAACAUGGUUAUAGAGCAUGCAUACCGAUGUAAACAUUGGCAAAAACAUACAUUUAGUUCAUAUAAGUAAUCUCUAUCAUUAUAGACAAUUUAAACAUUUUCUUUUUAUAUUUAACAUUCACUAAAAAAAUAUCCCUCCUCUUUCUAUAGGCUACUUCUGACAUUUUAUCAUAUAACGUUUUUCAAACAAUAUUAAUAGCGUUCAGUUAAUCACUAUACAUAUCCACCAUUUUCUGUUAAAAUGUCUUAUUGACGAGUUUCAUUUCUUCACUUCCCUGAAGAGAAGAUUAUAUUGCUUUACACCUUUUAUUCUUUUGAAUAAUUUCAGUGAUAUCUUCGAAGCAUGUGUCGGAAGUAAAAGUAUUUGAAUUAUACCUGCGUUAAACUCCAUUUAUUUAUUUGUGUGUAUAUAUAUAUAUAUAUAUAUAUAUAUAUAUAUAUAUAUAUAUAUACACACACACACAGCGGCAGCUUUAGUCUUAUAUUUAUAGACUGCCAUAUUAGUAUGUCGAUAACUAUUAAUAUCCAGUAACGCUGCCGUAAUCUCCUUUAGAGAGACUUAGUAAUUUCAAUAUUUCUAUUAUUGAAAACAAGUGGAUGUAUUCCACUGUAACUAGGUAAAUAAAAUCUUCGAACAGACUGGUUCUGACUACGCUGCAUUGAUAAAGGGCAACAACCCUGAAACAUGUCUGCAGAUGUCUGACUAGCAAGGUGAAGCGGCUGACCUCUCCUGUUCGAAGGUCGUAAUGGACGCAGGUUCGUGUGUCAUAUAGCUAGCUAGAGGCGAUGGCCUCUUGGAGCUAAUCAGCGACAGCUUUAGUCUUAUAUUUAUAGACUGCCAUAUUAGUAUGGCGAUAACUAUUAAUAUCCAGUAACGCUGCCGUAAUCUCCUUUAGAGAGACUUAGUAAUUUUAAUAUAUAUAUAUAUAUAUAUAUAUAUAUAUAUAUAUAUAUAUAUAUAUACACACAUACAUACAUAAAUAUACAUUGUAUGUAUGUAUUCUUUUAUUUGUUUCAGUUAUUUGACUGCGGCCAUGCUGGAGCAUCGCCUUCAGUCGAGCAAAUCAACCACAGGACUUAUUCUUAAUAAGCCUAGAAUUUAUUCUAUCGGUCCGUAUGACAUCACGACAGUAUUCAAGAGUAAUAAAGCACUUCGCAAAUAUCUCCUUCGGGUAAAACCACCAAUAGAAGAGAAUAUAACCAAAGACUGCGUGUACUCCAUCCCAUACAGCUGUGGUAGGUUAUACAAAGGCGAAACAUGCCGCCCCCUCAAAAUAAGGGUAGAGGAACAUCGCAAAGAGGAACAUGAGGAGAUAUUGAUAAAUCGGGUAUAGCUGAUCAUGUAUGCAAAAAUGGAGACCACCUCACCCAGUGGGAUGAAGUUAAAAUAAUCGACAGAGAACAUCACUGGAAAAAGAGGCAGCACAUAUGCUAGGACACAAUAACGUCCUAAGCAGACCGAGUACGGAUAUGAGCAGCAUAUGGGAACCGGUAUUAAGGAAGGAUAGGGAAAUAUUAGAUUUAUAAACCCUAAAAUUCACUCUAUAAAUAUCCACAGGUAUAGUGGUUAAGAGCGCGGGCUACUAACCCCGAGUUCGAUUCCAGGCAGUGACCUGAGCUAUAUAUACAUAUGGAAUUUGCUGUUGGCGGAUUGGGUGUUCCGUCGGAGAACCUCAGAUUUAACGGAUGCAUAAGUCGCGUCCGGACGUGGGUCAAUGGAACGUGCAAGAGGAGCAGGCAUCCCACAGUACAAAAGACUUAGUUGCUGUUGGAGAAUUUUGUUGUUAUUUAGCCUCAAAUCAACCCUGAUACAGCAAAUCUAUGUUGCUAUAAAAAUAUCUCUGGUUAUUGAAGAAGGGUUUUGUUAGGGGAGUGGACCCGGAAGUUGUUCGCAAACAUCAGCAGUAAUUUUCUUCAGUUGAAUACACGUCAUUGAUUGGUUAAAAUUACCCAAAUACGACAAUUUUAACACGAAAUAACUUCUAAAAUAUAAAAUUUUGUCAAAAACGUUAAGAGUAAACCCUGUUCUAUGUGUCACGUUCUGCCAGUAUCCGAAGUUUCAAAGUGUUUAGUUAAAAAAAGAAACAAUUAAAAAUUAAAAAUCUGUCGGUCAGAUUGAAAAGAUCCCAAAUAUCUCCUUAGUAUAUAAUGGUGGCAAGUUUUACAUCACCUGAAAAGUCAUUAGUUGAACUAUCUCUUGACAGACAUUUCAACAGACGCCCAUAAAUUAAAUGCAACGUGGCCUGUCGACCUGUGCCUGAUGGCCACAAUCGUGGUCCGUCUCGUUUUCUGUUAACACCCAGACACCAAAAAGAAAAGAACGAGCGCAAUAGGUGUAAACAAAUGUGUAUUAAACGAAUAUGAAAACAAAAAUUUACGCCAACGAACCGGAGGGGGGGGGGGCAGGAGGGAACUUUCGGAAAAUUCCCAACAUCCGAUUUUUUUCCUCGUAACUUUUAGGAAAAUGGAUAUCUUUUAAUGAAAUUUUAUAUAAAUACCUUUCAAACAGUAUAUAUUAUGAAUUUCUUUCUUUUCCAAAGUCCUCUCCCCACCCCCUCGGAAAAGAAUUUCCCCUCAAAUUACUUUAUAAUCGUAAUCGUUGCCGUUUGAAAGGUAUUUAUAUAAAAUUUCGUUAAAAGAUAUCCAUUUUUCUAAAAGUUAUGAGGGGGAAAAAUCGGAUCGUGUGAAUUUUCCGAAAGUCCACCCCGGUUCGUUGGCGCAAAUUUUUGCUUUCAUAUUAGUUUAAUACCCAUUUUUUAACACCUAUUACUCUUCUUUCUUUCUUUUUUUUUUACUUUGUUUUGGUGGCCGGGUGUUGAAGUAGUAAUUAUCUUUUUUUUUUUUUGGUGGUGGUGGUAGGGAGAUUUCUACUGAGAAGAUCAAAGGACCUGUUAACGUUGUCGCCAUCUUAGAGAGAAGGCAAAGGCUAAAAUGCGGAUCAAGUCAAACGAAUGACGAAAAUUAAGGCAAGUCUUAAUAAAGUUUUGCUUUUCAACAGCAAUAGUAAUAAAAAAUAUUCUACACAUCUGUAGUUACAUCUGUUCAUAAAUAUGGGCACGUAUUUUGCAGACGUCGGAGUCAGUAAGUUUCAAAUUGGAAUAUUUCCGUUCUAUCGGGGAUUUUUCUGAUUUUACUUUUUUUCACGGUGCCCUUGGAAGUGCUGUGGACUAUCUUUUUAGCAAAACAAUUUGCGAAAAUGAUUUUUUAUUUCACCCUACCCGGACUUUUGGAAUUUCUCCGUUUUGACGGGAAUAUUUUCACGCUCCUUCCAUUCCCGGCCGAUUUUGUUAGCACUCGCUCGAUGCUUCCCCCCAUCCCACCUCUGUGGACAGAUUUUGCGGCCACUACUCUUAAAAAUGAUGGGAGAGAAACCUUUUCGUUAAAAACAAUUUUCACUCCUAUCUUUAUCAAUUUCUUAAUGAUACAUAGCAUUUUUUCUUGUUAAACCUUUUUCCAUUACUCAAAUGGGUUUGUGGGGAGAAAGAUAUUCUUUUCGUCGAGUUGUAAACAUUAACCUUCUUUUCUUGCACAAGGCCCGAAAUUUUGGGGGAGAGGGCACCCAGUACGCAACUAGUACUUAAUUUAUUGACCCCGAAAGGAUGAAAGGCAAAGUUUACAUGGCGGAGACGUAAACGGACUCCAAUGAGGGUAACCUGCUUGAAGGCCAAGGCCGUAGAAUCGGGUGGGAUCUUUAUUUAUUUAUUUUUUUGCAAAAUUGAAAUUUUACAAACAGUUUUCUUUUUUCAGAACCCUAAUUAGCCAUGUGCGCCCCUAAAACUAACCCUAACCCUAGGGAGUGUGCAUAGUAAAAAAAUCUGAUUAGAAGCAAUCAAGAAUGUGCAAACGAUAUUGUCGGUCUCCUCGUAUCAUUAUCGGAAAAAGUAAAUUACCGCUCUUCAUAUCGAGUGUCCGUUUUCCGUGUUUUAUUUUUAAGUAUAAAAUAUUUUAAAAUGGAUGAAUCUUUCUAAUUUUUUUGCAUACAUCAUUUAUUUUGUAUAUAUUUUCCAUUUUCACAACUUUUUGUUUUUAAUUGCAUUUCAUUUUAUUGGAGCUCCAAAAACUAACUUGCGAUUUUCUUUCUCUUACUAUUGCCGUUGAAAAGCCAAAAAUUAUUGAAAUUUAACUUUUCCGGCAUUCAAUCGUUUUGAGCACGUGUUGUCAACUGUAAACACAUGAAAUAUUAUCACUAAUAAUGGGGCUUUUUCGACGUCGAUUUCGUUUUCUUCUUAGGAUACACAAAUGAAGCAGGUAAGAACGAAUCCUAGCCGCAUGCACAUACAUGCACAAAAAUGCAUAUAUAACUUGCACUUUAUAAAUAUGCAAGACAUCUCUUAAGUUUAAAAUGCGACCUACAUUCCACAUACAGAAAAGAGAAGUAUGUCACACACGGAAACUAUCGAAAGAAUCUUGACAAGCCUGAAACGCCAAACGAUUGAAUGUCGCGGGGAAAUCUAACUUCCGGUUUCAAUAUUAAAUUCUAAGCGUUUCUGAUUUUUACUCCGAAGUGAAUAGUGUUUCAUUUGCAGGAAACUGAACAUUUUUUAGUGACAUAUCUUUUAAUUCGUACUCCAAAGUGAACUAAAAAAAAACUUGCUGGAAGAUUUUUUUAGUUCAAUAUGGAUAUUCCUAGGCUAUCAGUUACUUCUAGAUUAAGCCCAGAAAACAUCAUAGAUUCGUGAAGUAUAUUUGCCACCUAAAUGUGGCUAACCCUUAUGGGUUGAUGCCACUGUAGCUUGUAGCCCCAAGAAGACAUCUCCUCCAGCUGGCUAUUGACACACUUAUUGUGUCCUAUCAGUAUUUGCAAAGGGAAGUCAUCGUUCCCAUCUCCAGCCUGACAUGAUACACACAGACCCGAGUUUCUGAAUAUUGACCCGUCAUCAGCGUAUGACAACCACUGGUUGGCGAUGUGAAGUGGUUCCCAAUGCAAAUAUAUAUAUAUAUAUAUAUAUUAUAUCCUUUUUCCUGUGACUUUUCGUUACUGAUCUUGAAAAGGUGUAAACAAGCAAUAAUACAUCUCUGAACGAGGUAUAGACAUUAACUGCACGACAACGUAAAGUAUAAUAGCCGUCUCAAUAUGGCUAACCACUAAGGGUGGGUGUUACUGUAGCUUUUAGCCCCAGGAGAACAUCUUCUCCAGCUGGCUUUUGACACGAGAUAUAAACUGUAGCUGCACGACGAGAUUUAUUAUUGCUUGUUUCCACUUUUUCGAGAUCAGUGACUUUUCGUCACUGGAAAAAGUAUAUAUAUAUAUAUAUUUGCAUUGAGAACUACGCUGAUGAUGGGUCAAUAUUCAGAAACUCGGGUCCGUGUGUAUUACGGCAGGGUGGAGAUAGGAAAGACGACUUCCCUUUGCAAAUACUGAUAGGGCACAGUAAGUGUGCCAAUGACCAGCUGGAGGAGAUGUCUUCCUGGGACUACAAGCUCCAGUAGCAUCAACCCUUAGAGGUUAACCACAUUUAAGUGGCAAAUAUACUUCACGAUGUCGUGCAGCUACUGUGUAUACCUCGUUCAGAGAUUUAUUAUUACAUUGUAGAUUAUUUGAAAGAGGAAGGAUUACUUUUUAAACAGAAAAGAUGUACCCGUAAUACAUUUAUGAGUUUCAUAAAAUCACCGAGGAGUAAUGACAGAUAUUCAUGGAAAUGUCCAUCUUGUCGAAAAAAGAAAUCAAUCAGGAGUAACACGUUUAUGGAAAGAUCAAAAUUAUCGCCUAACAAUUAUUUUUCAUAUCGUUUAUCACUUUGCCAGUGGAACCCCAGUCACUGCAUGUAUGAGUCGAGUUGGUGUAUCACGUGUGACAGCUAUUCAAUGGUACGCAUAUUGUAGAGAAAUUUGUAGCAGCAAGUUACUCAAAGACAGAACAAAAUUAGGAGGUGAUGGUCACGCGGUACAGAUUGAGGAAUCACCGAGUUUAAUAGAAAGUUUAAUCUAGGUAAGAUUAAAGAGAAAAUUUGGAUUGUUGGUUUCUUUUGUUUCAGUAUGCACCGGACAAAAGUGCUGAAACCUUAGAAACAAUUAUACAAGAAAAUGUUUUACCUGGCAGUACACUGUAUACUGAUAAAUGGGAUAGCUAUAAGAAUCUUUCAUCUUUAGGUUAUAACAGCCAACCAGAGUCGUGUUAAACAAAAAAUUUAAAACAUUUAUGGUUCAGAAGGAGAACUGAGAUGGGACCACAUAGAUGAAGGCAUUUUCAGGGAAUAUUAUAAGUUCAAUGCAUCAACAUUUAUACAAAACUCCCAAACUUCCCUGAAGCACAUUGCAGGAAUUUAUCUGCAGGUAUGUAAUGUUAUAUACAUUCACAUUAUAUCGUUUCAUACUAUAAUAUGGGCGGAGGUGAAGAUCAUGGACCGUGCCCGCUUUGGGAUUUGUUUUUUACGGGAACACACUAUAUCGGGCGAUCUUUCGUUUUGACUCGGAAAAUGAGUUUCCGUGACCACUUGUCUUGUCAACUGUCAGUUGACAUAUCGAAAUGGGAAGAGAAAGCCAAUGGAUCGUGCGUGUUUGUUCCUCUGUGUGUUAUAUUUACAUUCCACAACCCAUAAAAAUAGAACAAGCACUUACACACACACACACAAACAACAAGCACACACACCCACACAACCCAUUACCUUUCAAUACGUCAACUGACGGUUGGUCACGGAAACUAACGAAUUCAGUGUUUACCUCUUUCGAGUCAAAACGAAAGAAUGUCCUAUGUCGAUGGCGGAGAUUCCGAAUCUACAAAAAAAAAAAAGCAUUUCAAAAUUUUAAUCCCCCACUCCCAUUUCUUAGAUUAAAAAAAAAAUUUCUUUUGGCAAAAAACGUAGAAAAAUACGGAGAUUAUGAUUCUGAAAAAAUAAUUUGUAAAGUUUCAAUUUUUCAAAGACCCCCCCCCCCUUCUUCCUUAUGACAUGAAGUGAAAUUAAAGUAUUUUCUCUAAUGUUUCCUGACGAACAUAACAACCGAACAUGUUGUGGUCAGGGUCUUUUGGAAUUAAAAGAGGUACGAAAAAAUUAAAUUUUUUGCACACACACAACAAAAUGACAUUAAUUUUUUUUUUUUUCCUUUUUUUGGAAAUUCGUAUUUAGAAAUUUGAUACUCGGUUUGGCUGUUGUUUCUAGCUUGUCAGAUUUCCGGUUGGGGCGUACUUAGAAAUCGAAAGUUUUUGAAAUCCCCAAAAUACGUUUUCAUUCUCUGGCAAAGAAAAAAAGGGGUUGGGUGGGUGAAAUUUCACUUUCUGUCAAAGGGUGCAGGGGAGGUACUUCUUUUUCUUUUUUUGAAAAAUUGAUACAUUACCAUUAUGAAGUAAUUUAUGGGAAAGUUUUGGUGGGGGAGAGGACUUUCGGAAAAUUCCCAAGAUCCGAAUUUUUCCUCGUUAUAUUCCGAAAUCACAUCCAACUUUCUACAGAUACCCUAACGUAAUACUUCUACCCUACGUAGUGUUUAUUUCUACCCACUUUCAAUAAUUUUUAAUGUUUUGGCUUCAAUUUUGUUUCAUUUUAUCUUCCAAUUAUUUUUUUACCCUUCUGUCGUUAUUCUCAUUCACUCGUUAUUACUUUCUCUGUAUAUAUAUAUAUAUAUUGUAAAUAUACAUACAUCUAUAUACAGACACGUUAUAUUUUUACAAACGCACUUCACUGAAGUUACAAAAAUUAGUGGAAACGAUAUCUUGACAAAAAACCAUGUUCGUUUUUGUGGGAAAUAAGUCAAAGAGUAUUAAAACAAAAUAUCUUUUGCUAAAAUUACUAUAUAUAUAUAUAGAUCCCAGGAUAUAUAUAAAAUUUCAUUGGAAAAAACACAUUUUCCUAAAAGUUACAAGGGAAAAACUCGGAUCUUAUGAAUUUUCCGAGUUACUCACCCCACCCCCUUGGAAAAGAUUUUACCCACAAAUUUCUUCAUAAUCAUAAUGUAUGCCGUUUGAAAGAUAUUUAUAUAAAAUUCCGUUGAAAAAAACCCUAUUCUCCUAAAAGUUAUGAUGGAAAAACUUGGAUCUUGUGAAUUUUCCGAGGUUCCCUCCUCCACCCUCCUGUUGCUUUGCGCGCAGUUUUUUUUUUCCCUAUAGAUUUUUAACACCCGUUGCACGAUUUUAUUUCUGAUUUUCGUUUCUGGGUCAAGUUGUAAACAUUAACAAAUUUUUUUCUUCAAAAGUGAAAAUUUAAGAAAUUGGGGAGGUGAAUUUAAAUUUUCAAAGGCAGAUUUUUUGCCGAUUCAGAUUCUCCGCCCUCCAUAUAGGACGUUCCUGUCGAAAAAAAAACAACAACAACAAAAAAUAAAACGAAUUGGGGUGCGGUCCUUGAUCUCCGCCGAAUUUAAUGUCUGUGAUUACCAUGAGUUGUCAUUCACGCUGUAAAUUCCUCUAAUACGUAAUCCUGUUUUUCUUCACAAGCUGAUAAUAUUAUCCGGAGUGUAUAUAUUAGCAAUAAUUAUAACAAUAGAGAAUAUGGAAACCGAUACAUCCUCAAUUUAUUUCAUUUUGCUUUACAAUAUCAUCAAAUUUAUUUUAAGGUCACGAUGGCCUAUAUAAAAAUAUACUAGAUGAAUCAUACAGUAUCUUUUUAUAUAGGUCGUCGUGACCUUGAAAAUAAACUGUAAAAGAAAAGGAAAUAAAUUGAGGAUGUACCAGUUUCCAUAUUCUCUCUCAUCGUCAUUUAACGUCCAUGCUGGCAUGAGUUGUACAAUUUGAUCAGGGCUGGCAAGGCUGGAAGUCUGCCCCAAGUUUGAUUUGGCAUGGUUUCUACAGCUGGAUGCCAACCACUCAGAGUGUAAUGGGGUGGUUUUACGUGCCACUGGCACCGGGGCCAUUUUUACGACAUCAGCAUCUUUCAUGAGUGCAGUUUUACUUCUCAAACAUGGUAUGAUGCCAAAUGGACGCAAUCAUUGCUUGUGUGUGUGUGUGUAUAUGUGCAGAAAAACUUGUGUGUGCUUAUAUAAUUGUACACAUAUCUUUAUCAAUUGAAGAAUAUCAUAAAAGAAUACACCAGCAGAUAUACAUUGUCUUAACUUCAUACACAGCAAAAACAUACAAACACACAUGUAGUGGAUCUCUUCAUGGCAUUUCUCCUCACCUGCAAAUGCUUCCAUGUCAAUCAUGCACAUAUAUAAAAUAGAUGUCACUCAUACAACACCUGGCUGCAGCUCUAAAACAUACCAGCCCUGUCUAUGGUAAAUAAUAAAAGGAAUAGUUGAGGAAACAUGUUAGUUGAUUCAUUUUAUACAAAGUUGCAGUUCUUCUGGAAAAUAUUCCUCAAAAACAUAAUGCCAAUAAUUCCUCACUGCUAGUUUGUGUAACUUAUUUUCAAUAUUAAUUGUUCAUUCAUGCUUCUUAUUUUUCUCCUUUUUAUUCUUCAUGCGUAGGGAAAACAGUCGAAGACAGUUGGGAUUAUUCAGUUUAGAAAUAUUUUAUAUCUUAUAAUAGCCUUCUCGUUAUCUUUCUGCUGCUAGUGAAGAAGAUCAAGCAGCAGUAGGACAGACAAGAUGAAGAACCUUGCAAUUUGAAACUCUAUCGAUAUUUUCUGGCUGCCAGUUUCGCUAUUAACUAUUUUGAAUAAACAAAUAAAAUCUGCUUCCUUACU